AAAAUUGCUUGAACAAAUAGUUUUAAAAGGUUGCCUUUCAAAAUGAUUGCAUUAAGGCAGGGACUUUAACGGCAGUUUGUGGAUUUAAAAUAAAGGUAUUACCUGGUUUUGUUUCCCCUCCCCUCUUCCCAGGGCUUAGAUGUAGAUUCACUGGUCAUUGAGCACAUCCAGGUGAACAAAGCUCCCAAGAUGCGGCGCAGGACUUAACAGAGCUCAUGGUCGGAUCAACCCUUACAUGAGCUCUCCCUGCCACAUUGAGAUGAUCCUUACUGAAAAAGAGCAGAUUGUUCCUAAACCAGAAGAGGAGGUUGCACAGAAGAAAAAGAUAUCCCAGAAGAAACUGAAGAAACAAAAACUUAUGGCCCGGGAAUAAAUUCAGC
Non-coding RNA from Vicugna pacos (alpaca), 380 nucleotides. The record is from RefSeq and is a predicted model, not a curated record. Lineage: Eukaryota; Metazoa; Chordata; Mammalia; Artiodactyla; Camelidae.